AGAAGCCCCAGGAGAAAGUCCAGAGUCACCCGAGGGUGCGGCCCCAGGGAGCUUCACGCAGCCAGCUCUGCAGCCAGCACCUAAGGAGGUGCCCGCGGGAGGAGGAGGGGGCGUGUGGGAUGCUCUGGCCGGGUGGGCUGCCUGGGAAGGGGUGGCUGACCGAGUUUGUCACUGAUGGAGACAUGGAAGUGUCCGCCAUGCACAGAUGGAGACUUGGCCAUCACUCCAUAGGGGAACACUUGAGCAGCAGGGACGACGGCCCCAGGCUGUGGAGUGGCUUCCCUGCCUUGCCGCCUGCUCCCUGUGCCCUUGCGGCUCCCACUGAGUGGGUAGAGACCGCUCGCCAGCCUUGCAGUCUAGGCUGGCCUUGGCUUGGACCCUUGGGAGACCUUCCAGCUUCCACUCUGUCUUGGAAGGAACCCUGACAGCCCUCUGAGAACAAGCCCGGGCCAGACUGCUGGGGGAUGUGUUGUCAUCGGGCAGCCAACCUCCAGCCUCCAGAACAGGCCCAUCGGAGAUCAGCACAGCCUGGAUCAGGCCAGCAGCACUGCCUGGGUGGCCCCGGCUCGUGAGCAAGUGUAGAUGCUUAUUGCUUUUGUCCACCGCGUCUCCAGGCUGCUGGGUUUGCAGCAGCAGCUGACCCAUCCACCACGGCCACCACGAGAGGUCACACAGGUACCACUUGAAGCUGCGACACUUCAGCCUCUGACGCAGGGCCAGCCUCUCAGACACGUCCCCGAAGUCCACCCCUGGGUUCUGCAAGGCCAGAAGUAGGUGAGAGGAGGGUCUGAGGCAGCUGCUCCUGAUGGGAAGGACCCUGCCAGAGGCCAGCCCCGGCCUGGACAGACGGCCCCUGCUGCAGCCGGCUCGUCCACACCCACCCGGGCCCAGGAACCUCCUGCCUGAGAAGACGGCCCUGCUCACCUGGCCUUACUGCACGGCAUCAGCCUGACCUCUGGAGGGUGGAGACUGAGGUCAGCCAUAUCCAGAGACCAGCCUGGCGUCUCUUCCCUCUGCUGACUUUGACCCGUGUCCUCUGCCGUGAGAACCCACAGCCGAGUGCGGUGUCUGUGUCUUCCUGGGACUGUGGGGCCUGAGAGGCUGUAGGGACCAGCACUCUCUGACGGACAGCCAGCCCUGAGGGAGCACCUGCACCCUGCCCAGGGACCCUCCAGGCUCAGGCCUUGUGGGGAGGGCAGACGACUUGGCCUUCACGGCCUGGGCUUGAAUCCCGUCACCUUCUGGUAUGUGGGCCUGGGACAGUCCCCUAUCUUCUCUGUGCCUCAGUUACUCAUUGGUAAAGUGGGGACGAUCACGCCAGAAACUCAUUGUUGCUCUGUUAUGAGGUUUUAAUCAGCCAAGGGGCUCACACCAGGGCCCUUGGACACGGAGGUGACAGGCAUUUGCCGGCCUCACUGCCCGGGGGCCUGGAGCACCUCACUCAGUUGCCCACACACUUGGGGAGGUCAUCACCCUGCACGUUUUCCUUAUCACUUCAUGGAAAACAAGGCUGUAGGAGCACCGGGUACCCUCUUCUCGUCUCUCAGACACGAGUGCACGUGUCUACGGCUCCUGAUCUGCCUGGCGGGAGCUGAUAUGGGGGCUGGAUGCUGGAUUUGCAGUGAAUGGUCCAGCCCGGGGCCACUUCAGGCCGUGUCACCCACACGCUGGGGUGCACUCUAGCAGGGGGUGGUAAGCCAAUUUAGGGGCUGUGGUGGGAAGUUUUAAGAAGUAGUAAUAUUGUAAAUGAGAAGGGUCACUUUGGUGCUACGUACACAAAGCGCUGUAUGUGGACAGAUGUAAAUGUAUGCGUGUGUGCGCUGGGUCAUGACUUAAGAUCUGGCUCAUUAGGGUUGAUGCAGACAAGCCCGUUUCUAAGAUGAGCCCUCCCAGAACUCAGGGACCCAGUGCCUGCAGUGGCCAGGGAAGGAAGGGGGUGGUUCCAGAGACGCUGGGGUGUGGCGGGAUGGGUCGCGGCCACCCGUCUCAGUACCUGCCUUUCUUAGGGUUGUGGGGGUGGGGCGCUUUGAGAAAAGCCAGAAUUCAGGCUCUUUAUGGGAAAUUACAAAUUAGAAAACAAACAGCAAUCCUCAACUUGAAGCGGGUCAGCCACUCAUAGGCCAAAGCCCAACAGGAAACAACCAAAAACGUCCAUCCACGGACGAGUGGAUCCACACGAGGGGCCCUUUCACACUGUGGACGUGACUCAGCCAUGGUGGGGGUGACCUGGAAAAGGUGGCGCUGAGGACGGGAAGCCACACAGCGUAUGAGCCGUUCAUGAAACCGCCAGACAGUUGAGGCUGCCCGGGGCUGGGGAGGGGUCCGCACUGGCUGACAGGUGCUGUGCAGGGCACUAAGUGGGGCCCUGGCUGAGGCGGCGGCACCAGGUUGGGGAGAGGCCGCCCCUCCCUGGCUUCUAACCACGGGGCAAUUGCUCUAGGCUGAGAGGAAAAACGCCCACCACACCGGGGUGGGUGUGAGCUGGUCUCUUCCCAGUGUGAGGAAGGCUCCUUCCCAGGCAGACAGCUCACCCACUCACACCUGCACACACAACUGCUUGCACCUGUGCACACCUGUCAACACACCCACUCACACCUGCAGGGGGCCCUAGGGGGCCUCCCUCCGGCCCAGCCCUGCCGUGGCAUUGACCCCGACCCUGGGGCAUGGCCCCGGCUCCCGGC
Molecule: long non-coding RNA, 2681 nt
Filed under: Homo sapiens (human)
Lineage: Eukaryota; Metazoa; Chordata; Mammalia; Primates; Hominidae
Description: HSALNT0371908
Source: RNAcentral